AUUGAACGCUGGCGGCAGGCCUAACACAUGCAAGUCGAACGAGCGGCGGACGGGUGAGAAAUGUAUGGGAACUGCCCGAAAGAGGGGGAUCACUACUGGAAACGGUAGCUAAUAACGAGUAAUAUCGGAUAACACAUAUGGGAUUAGCUAGUAGGUGAGGUAAUGGCUCACCUAGGCGAUGAUACCUAGCUGGUCUGAAAGGAUGAUCAGCCACACUGGGACUGAGACACGGCCCAGACUCCUACGGAGGCAGCAGUGGGGAAUAUUGCACAAUGGGCGCAAGCCGGAUGCAGCCAUGCCGCGUGUAUGAAGAAGGCCCUAGGGUUGUAAAGUACUUUCAGUCGGGAGGCGUUACCGACAGAAGAAGCACCGGCUAACUCCGUGCCAGCAGCCGCGGUAAUAC
RNAcentral lists this ribosomal RNA (403 nucleotides) under uncultured bacterium. RNAcentral describes it as "partial 16S ribosomal RNA". It matches the Rfam family "Bacterial small subunit ribosomal RNA", at positions 30 to 526 of the family's 1533-position model. The record is from RNAcentral.